RNAcentral lists this transfer RNA (76 nucleotides) under Verrucomicrobiales bacterium. Its description in RNAcentral is "tRNA-Trp". It matches the Rfam family "tRNA". Rfam says of the family: Transfer RNA (tRNA) molecules are approximately 80 nucleotides in length. Their secondary structure includes four short double-helical elements and three loops (D, anti-codon, and T loops). Lineage: Bacteria; Pseudomonadati; Verrucomicrobiota; Verrucomicrobiia; Verrucomicrobiales. The record is from RNAcentral.
AGGUCAGUAGCUCAGUUGGUAGAGCGUCGGUCUCCAAAACCGAAUGUCGGGGGUUCGAGCCCCUCCUGACCUGCCA